RNAcentral lists this ribosomal RNA (855 nucleotides) under human gut metagenome. RNAcentral describes it as "bacterial SSU rRNA". It matches the Rfam family "Bacterial small subunit ribosomal RNA", at positions 22 to 878 of the family's 1533-position model. The record is from RNAcentral.
GCUCAGGAUGAACGCUGGCGGCGUGCCUAAUACAUGCAAGUCGAACGCUUCACUUCGGUGAAGAGUGGCGAACGGGUGAGUAAUACAUAAGUAACCUGGCAUCUACAGGGGGAUAACUGAUGGAAACGUCAGCUAAGACCGCAUAGGUGUAGAGAUCGCAUGAACUCUAUAUGAAAAGUGCUACGGGACUGGUAGAUGAUGGACUUAUGGCGCAUUAGCUUGUUGGUAGGGUAACGGCCUACCAAGGCGACGAUGCGUAGCCGACCUGAGAGGGUGACCGGCCACACUGGGACUGAGACACGGCCCAGACUCCUACGGGAGGCAGCAGUAGGGAAUUUUCGGCAAUGGGGGAAACCCUGACCGAGCAACGCCGCGUGAAGGAAGAAGUAAUUCGUUAUGUAAACUUCUGUCAUAGAGGAAGAACGGUGGAUAUAGGGAAUGAUAUCCAAGUGACGGUACUCUAUAAGAAAGCCACGGCUAACUACGUGCCAGCAGCCGCGGUAAUACGUAGGUGGCGAGCGUUAUCCGGAAUUAUUGGGCGUAAAGAGGGAGCAGGCGGCACUAAGGGUCUGUGGUGAAAGAUCGAAGCUUAACUUCGGUAAGCCAUGGAAACCGUAGAGCUAGAGUGUGUGAGAGGAUCGUGGAAUUCCAUGUGUAGCGGUGAAAUGCGUAGAUAUAUGGAGGAACACCAGUGGCGAAGGCGACGAUCUGGCGCAUAACUGACGCUCAGUCCCGAAAGCGUGGGGAGCAAAUAGGAUUAGAUACCCUAGUAGUCCACGCCGUAAACGAUGAGUACUAAGUGUUGGGUGUCAAAGCUCAGUGCUGCAGUUAACGCAAUAAGUACUCCGCCUGAGU